This is a long non-coding RNA of Gavialis gangeticus (Gharial), 309 nucleotides long. RefSeq lists it as uncharacterized. The record is from RefSeq and is a predicted model, not a curated record. Lineage: Eukaryota; Metazoa; Chordata; Crocodylia; Gavialidae. The transcript has 2 exons.
UAGGAGUAAAAAGAGGAAGAGUGCACUCGGGGAAGCUGCAUGAUUACCUGGCAUCUGAACAUGGAACAUUAAGAAAAUAACUUCCUUGUUUGAGAUUGUUCCAGUCUCACUUCCUCAUUGGGCAGAGUACCUUUUUACAUCUAUGGGGUCUUUUAGUGUCUGGAAAACAGGCUUUUAUGAUGAGUGAUUUCAUUCUUACGCUCCAUUUAUCACUAUUUUAUCUUACUAAAAUGCAGAACAACAAAAAAGCAAUCUAAAUAUACAGACUCAGCAUGUAUUUUUAAAAGAAAUAAAUACACUUUCUUGGAA